Molecule: ribosomal RNA, 776 nt
Filed under: Psychrobacter sp. E9(2011)
Lineage: Bacteria; Pseudomonadati; Pseudomonadota; Gammaproteobacteria; Moraxellales; Moraxellaceae
Description: bacterial SSU rRNA
Rfam family: Bacterial small subunit ribosomal RNA
Source: RNAcentral
GCAGUCGAGCGGUGCAUUUCUAGCUUGCUAGAAGAUGACGAGCGGCGGACGGGUGAGUAAUACUUAGGAAUCUACCUAGUAGUGGGGGAUAGCUCGGGGAAACUCGAAUUAAUACCGCAUACGACCUACGGGAGAAAGGGGGCAACUUGUUGCUCUCGCUAUUAGAUGAGCCUAAGUCGGAUUAGCUAGAUGGUGGGGUAAAGGCCUACCAUGGCGACGAUCUGUAGCUGGUCUGAGAGGAUGAUCAGCCACACCGGGACUGAGACACGGCCCGGACUCCUACGGGAGGCAGCAGUGGGGAAUAUUGGACAAUGGGGGAAACCCUGAUCCAGCCAUGCCGCGUGUGUGAAGAAGGCCUUUUGGUUGUAAAGCACUUUAAGCAGUGAAGAAGACUCUUCGGUUAAUACCCGGAGACGAUGACAUUAGCUGCAGAAUAAGCACCGGCUAACUCUGUGCCAGCAGCCGCGGUAAUACAGAGGGUGCAAGCGUUAAUCGGAAUUACUGGGCGUAAAGCGAGCGUAGGUGGCUUGAUAAGUCAGAUGUGAAAUCCCCGGGCUUAACCUGGGAACUGCAUCUGAUACUGUCAGGCUAGAGUAGGUGAGAGGAAGGUAGAAUUCCAGGUGUAGCGGUGAAAUGCGUAGAGAUCUGGAGGAAUACCGAUGGCGAAGGCAGCCUUCUGGCAUCAUACUGACACUGAGGCUCGAAAGCGUGGGUAGCAAACAGGAUUAGAUACCCUGGUAGUCCACGCCGUAAACGAUGUCUACUAGUCGUUGGGU